UGAGUAACACGUAUCCAACCUGCCGUCUACUCUUGGACAGCCUUCUGAAAGGAAGAUUAAUACAAGAUGGCAUCAUGAGUCCGCAUGUUCACAUGAUUAAAGGUAUUCCGGUAGACGAUGGGAUGCGUUCCAUUAGAUAGUAGGCGGGGUAACGGCCCACCUAGUCUUCGAUGGAUAGGGGUUCUGAGAGGAAGGUCCCCCACAUUGGAACUGAGACACGGUCCAA
RNAcentral lists this ribosomal RNA (226 nucleotides) under uncultured bacterium. Its description in RNAcentral is "partial 16S ribosomal RNA". It matches the Rfam family "Bacterial small subunit ribosomal RNA", at positions 107 to 334 of the family's 1533-position model. The record is from RNAcentral.